This 1114-nucleotide unclassified non-coding RNA is filed under the name Amphibalanus amphitrite. Its description in RNAcentral is "endocuticle structural glycoprotein ABD-4-like, transcript variant X2". The record is from RNAcentral. Lineage: Eukaryota; Metazoa; Arthropoda; Thecostraca; Balanomorpha; Balanidae.
ACAUAAGCAAAUCUGAGCGCGGAUUUACUGUUAUAAAUCUCCAUCUAUUCUAAGCUGCAAACCUGUGCAAUAAUUCAAGUACUGAUCACGUCGCGAAGGGUUGCCUUAUGUAGCAGGUCUGCCAGUUUCUCUGCUAUAAAAGCUGGUGACCGACAUGUGUUCUACGUCAGUGGAUCAGCUAAAACCCAGAAUGAAGGCCGUUCUGCUCUUCUGUGUGGUGGCUGUGACCGCGGCCGACAAGUCAGCGAGAAUUGCCAACCAUCAGUAUGGCAUCGAGGAGGACGGCUCAUACCAGUCCAACUACGAGACAACCAACGGCAUCAAGGCCCAGGAGGACGGCAUCUCCUACCCCGGCAACAUCCCCGAGUCUGGCAACUACGUGAGGAGCGGCUCGUACUCGUACGAAUGGGAGGGCGUCACCUACACGGUCACCUGGACGGCCGACGAGAAUGGCUUCCACCCGGAGGGUGACCACUUGCCCGACUUCAGCCACACUCGCGAACAUAUCGGAGGCAUCGAAGAACACCUCUGAACUGCUAUAUUGGUUCCAUAACCGAAUGCCUGUUGCCGAUCAAAAAUAAAAUUCCAGGGUCCCUCUAUCGCGCAGGUGCUCUGCCUGCUCUGCCUGGUGACUCUGCUGGCUCUGACCGCCGAGGCCGACAAGACGGCCAGCAUCGUCAACCAGUACUACAACAACGACGGCAACGGCAACUUUGUCAACAGGUUUGAAACAUCGAAUGGCAUAGCUUCUGAGGAAGAGGCAGUCUUCUACCCCGGUCCGGAACCCGAGUCUGGAACGUUCGCGAGGAGCGGCUUCUUCUCGUACGACUGGGAGGGCGUCACCUACAAAGUGUACUGGAAGGCCGACCAGGAUGGCUUCCUAGCGACUGGCGAUCACCUGCCCAAUGGUGGCGAUGGUGAACAAUAUGGGCUUCUAUUUUAAGCACAGAAGGAAAUAAAUGAAACAUGAAAACGACGUCCAGCAGAAGGACGAAGAAAAUGGGUGACUGAACAGCGAGCAUAGUCUACAUUCACUGAGCCCGUCGAGUGAAACAGUGUCAAAUAAAGCAAAACACAGUGUCCCUGUAUGAAUGAAUGAAUGAAAUAAAGCAGA